This 180-nucleotide ribosomal RNA is filed under the name uncultured bacterium. RNAcentral's name for it is "partial 16S ribosomal RNA". It matches the Rfam family "Bacterial small subunit ribosomal RNA", at positions 1320 to 1500 of the family's 1533-position model. The record is from RNAcentral.
GUGAAGUUGGAAUCGCUAGUAAUCGCGGAUCAGCAUGCCGCGGUGAAUACGUUCCCGGUCUUGUACACACCGCCCGUCACACCAUGGGAGUUGGUAACGCCCGAAGUCAGUGACUCAACCGAAAGGAGAGAGCUGCCGAAGGCGGGACUGAUAACUGGGGUGAAGUCGUAACAAGGUAAC